This 497-nucleotide ribosomal RNA is filed under the name uncultured bacterium. RNAcentral describes it as "partial 16S ribosomal RNA". It matches the Rfam family "Bacterial small subunit ribosomal RNA", at positions 28 to 507 of the family's 1533-position model. The record is from RNAcentral.
GAUGAACGCUGGCGGCGUGCCUAAUACAUGCAAGUCGAGCGAACAGACGAGGAGCUUGCUCCUCUGACGUUAGCGGCGGACGGGUGAGUAACACGUGGAUAACCUACCUAUAAGACUUGGAUAACUUCGGGAAACCGGAGCUAAUACCGGAUAAUAUAUUGAACCGCAUGGUUCAAUAGUGAAAGACGGUUUUGCUGUCACUUAUAGAUGGAUCCGCGCCGCAUUAGCUAGUUGGUAAGGUAACGGCUUACCAAGGCAACGAUGCGUAGCCGACCUGAGAGGGUGAUCGGCCACACUGGGAAUGAGACACGGUCCAGACUCCUACGGGAGGCAGCAGUAGGGAAUCUUCCGCAAUGGGCGAAAGCCUGACGGAGCAACGCCGCGUGAGUGAUGAAGGUCUUCGGAUCGUAAAACUCUGUUAUUAGGGAAGAACAAAUGUGUAAGUAACUAUGCACGUCUUGACGGUACCUAAUCAGAAAGCCACGGCUAACUACGUG